RNAcentral lists this unclassified non-coding RNA (253 nucleotides) under uncultured Pseudobdellovibrionaceae bacterium. Its description in RNAcentral is "uncultured Bdellovibrionaceae bacterium contains 16S-23S intergenic spacer region". It matches the Rfam family "Bacterial small subunit ribosomal RNA", at positions 524 to 776 of the family's 1533-position model. Lineage: Bacteria; Pseudomonadati; Bdellovibrionota; Bdellovibrionia; Bdellovibrionales; Pseudobdellovibrionaceae. The record is from RNAcentral.
GACGAGGGGUCCUAGCGUUGUUCGGAAUUACUGGGCGUAAAGCGCACGUAGGCGGCGUGGUAAGUCAGAUGUGAAAGCCCUGGGCUCAACCCAGGAACUGCAUUUGAUACUGCCGCGCUUGAGUAUGGUAGAGGGUAGUAGAAUUCCUGGUGUAGUGGUGAAAUACGUAGAUAUCAGGAGGAAUACCGGUGGCGAAGGCGGCUACCUGGACCAAUACUGACGCUGAGGUGCGAAAGCGUGGGGAGCGAACAGG